Molecule: long non-coding RNA, 501 nt
Organism: Xenia sp. Carnegie-2017
Lineage: Eukaryota; Metazoa; Cnidaria; Anthozoa; Malacalcyonacea; Xeniidae
Exons: 2
Source: RefSeq, a predicted model, not a curated record
UUGUUGGCUUUUCUAGUGCUGGAUGACGAAGGACAAGUUCAAAACGUGCAUGUUGUCAGUGUGCUUUACAUUAAUCAUUCACAGACAACGGGUCCGGAAAUCGGUGACAUGAAGCUAGGCAACAAACCCGGCUAUAUUUGCGCCAAGUGAUGGGGGCACAACAUUGCCAACGGGUGUACUUACGUACACGACUGAAUCCUUACAAUAUCAAGAAAGAUGCCGAAAAUCAAGAAAUUGAAAUCAAAAAUUGGGCAGUUGCAUGUAAAGUAUACGACUAGAAGGACUUAGAUUUAUCUCUUCAAAUUAAAAAAUUUACCCCUUAAAAAACACCACCCACACAAUGUAAGAAGAUAAAAUUAACAAUGUUCAUAUCAUAUAUACUUUUUAAGGUUUUCGCAUUUUAAUCAACAAACGUCGUAUCUUUGGAACAUAUUUAUACUUCAUUAUAAAAAACUUUCGUAUGUAACAUUCGCGAAAAAUACACACGUUAAAGGACAUCAA